CUCGCUUGGCUGGUUCUUCCGCCUAGAAUUUAGUUCACGUGUUCUUGCUCGUGCCAGCGAACGAUUCAGCCCACCCCUCUAGAUUUGUUUCAUGAACUUGGUAAUACAUACAUUGCACAUUGCGUGAAACAAUUGCGACACAUCCAUCUCUGAACAAGAUCUACAUCUAGAUUGCAGAUGAUACGAUUCUCUGUUUUUUCACAUUGAAAUCAUGCUUACAUGUCACAACAGUAUCUUCCUAAUUGAUGCCCUGCUAGAUGUUUGCAAGAUCGAAGGUAACAUGGAGUUGCUCUUACAGUACAAUAAUACAGCUUGCUUUUUUGGUAGUGCUUCAUUGGGAAAGGUGUGACAGAUUAUGUGUUUCAUUCUCUUAUCUGUCAGUUUUCCCCGCUGACUUGAAUUGAGUAUUGAUUGGAUUCGUUAGUUCUUCCUACUAUCCUAAUUGAUUUAUAUGCAUAAAUUGUUAUUUGAGCAGGAGAUUAGCUGAUGUGUCUAGGUGUGCCAUUCUGUCAUAUAUAUAUAAACUAAUACUUGCAUCUUUAUCAUCUUGGAUCGUGAUUCCUAUUUUGUGCAUUAAGGAAACAAUACGUAUGAAAAUAUGCACUUUUAUUUACUUUAAAUAUAUUGACGAAGUGCUUCAGUUUUAGCUACAAUUUUAGUUCCCUUUUGUACUUCAGUUAGGUCCUUAUGUCUACAAGGAGAGCAGUUAUUACUUAAAGUUCUGAAUUGGUGUGCAUAUAGUACAGUGAUAUGUACCUCUAACUGGUUCUUCCAUUUCAUUUCUGUCCUCCCUUUAGAUUGAGUAAAUUGAUGAAAACCUGCUUCUUUUUUUGCUUUAUCUCUUCCUUUACUGUAUGACAUGAGAAGACAAAAAAUCAACCAGCUGAUGCCAUUUAAACGACGUUUGUGGUUUGUAAAAUAAUAUAAUUAAUGCAUCAGAUAUAGAAUUGGUCCCGGAUUAACUCCAAAUAGUCUGUUCUCCAACUUUGUUACUUAGGUUUUCCCCCAUGAUCAGUGGGUCGCUGCUGAUUUGAUCCUGGUGAAGUGUGUUGGGCUAGGAGGGGGGCGGUGACAUUGAUGCUUACUUGAGGACAAAGAUCGCUUGAGAACGGAUAGAAGAGCUGAUGCAUGCAAGAUAAUAGUAGCUUGCCAAGGCAAAUACAAUGUAAGACUUCACACCAGACAAUUCCAUUGAUAAUUUCAGAGGACGGUUGAAGGAAGGUUCAGUUUACAUGUUUGAGAUGUUCAACGUGUGAUUCAUAUUUUCCGUCUCAUGUACAUGAGUUUGCUUCUUCGCUGGCGUGGUAUUAUGUGCUUUCGGAUUUACCAUCUGGUCUGCAUUGAGAUGGGCAUGAAUGCGUGAUGUUUGGGUCACUGUCUCUUGGAGUUUUCUCUAUCUUUUUUUUAUACAAUUUCUAGUUGUCAACAGACGUUACCUGUGUGUUAUAGUAGUCUUUUAACUUUUAAACUUGUUGCAUGAUCUGGAUGCUAGUUAUUAAGUAGUCCCUGAAUUAUUUACUUUUGCUAAAUGAUUUCAAUGCUUGUUUCUAAAGAACAUGAUCUGCAUCUAGUGUUUCAUUUCGUUACUGUUACACAUGUCCUACUCUAAAUAGACUAGGCCUUCCGUUUUAAGUUGACUUAAUUGCACAGUUCUGCCAGUCAACUACUAUACAAUCCAGUUUCAGUUCUUUUUGCUAUUUAAUUACUUCUAUUGUAUUAUAUGCCAUCUAUAAUAAGCAGCAACUUGUUUUACAUUUCUUCUCUUUAUUUACAUAAGCUUGUGCUUUCAUUUCUAUACAUGCCUUCUGUAAUAAGCGUUACAGGACCUUCUUUUGAAUAUAACAUGAUGAGAAGUUAAUUUAACUUCUCAUCAUGUCAUAUUCAAACAGUGCAAUAGUAUAUAUAUAUUAACUCUCUGAUUGUUGUGUCUUGCUGUGCAGAAGAGUUUGCUGUGUACGUUCGUUGAUGCUUAUUUUACUUGGGUUGACCUGAAGCGUUGUUUCUGGGUGGUGUAGGAUGAGUUGCUGCGGAACAACCUGGAGGUGGAGAGCCUGAAGAUAACUCGUGCAACAUCAUUGUCUGGCAAGAUGCAUGCUGGAGAACCUGAAGACAACUCUAAUGAAUCUGUAGUACAAAUAUGAAUCUGUUGUUAGUGUCUUUCUUGUAUAUAUAUCUGAUUUGUGGAAAUAUUGUAAUAUAUUCAGUUACUGCUCUUAUAUGGAAGAUUUCAUCAUGUGUUGAUGUUUA
Molecule: long non-coding RNA, 2247 nt
Organism: Lolium perenne
Lineage: Eukaryota; Viridiplantae; Streptophyta; Magnoliopsida; Poales; Poaceae
Source: RefSeq, a predicted model, not a curated record